Molecule: ribosomal RNA, 790 nt
Filed under: uncultured Staphylococcus sp.
Lineage: Bacteria; Bacillati; Bacillota; Bacilli; Caryophanales; Staphylococcaceae
Description: bacterial SSU rRNA
Rfam family: Bacterial small subunit ribosomal RNA
Source: RNAcentral
CCUAUAAGACUGGGAUAACUUCGGGAAACGGGAGCUAAUACCGGAUAACAUUUUGGAACCGCAUGGUUCUAAAGUGAAAGAUGGUUUUGCUAUCACUUAUAGAUGGACCCGCGCCGUAUUAGCUAGUUGGUAAGGUAACGGCUUACCAAGGCAACGAUACGUAGCCGACCUGAGAGGGUGAUCGGCCACACUGGAACUGAGACACGGUCCAGACUCCUACGGGAGGCAGCAGUAGGGAAUCUUCCGCAAUGGGCGAAAGCCUGACGGAGCAACGCCGCGGGAGUGAUGAAGGGUUUCGGCUCGUAAAACUCUGUUAUUAGGGAAGAACAAAUGUGUAAGUAACUAUGCACAUCUUGACGGUACCUAAUCAGAAAGCCACGGCUAACUACGUGCCAGCAGCCGCGGUAAUACGUAGGUGGCAAGCGUUAUCCGGAAUUAUUGGGCGUAAAGCGCGCGUAGGCGGUUUCUUAAGUCUGAUGUGAAAGCCCACGGCUCAACCGUGGAGGGUCAUUGGAAACUGGGAAACUUGAGUGCAGAAGAGGAAAGUGGAAUUCCAUGUGUAGCGGUGAAAUGCGCAGAGAUAUGGAGGAACACCAGUGGCGAAGGCGACUUUCUGGUCUGUAACUGACGCUGAUGUGCGAAAGCGUGGGGAUCAAACAGGAUUAGAUACCCUGGUAGUCCACGCCGUAAACGAUGAGUGCUAAGUGUUAGGGGGUUUCCGCCCCUUAGUGCUGCAGCUAACGCAUUAAGCACUCCGCCUGGGGAGUACGACCGCAAGGUUGAAACUCAA